AAGCCUGCUGCAGCGACGCCGCGUGAGGGAUGACGGCCUUCGGGUUGUAAACCUCUUUCAGUAGGGAAGAAGCGAAAGUGACGGUACCUGCAGAAGAAGCGCCGGCUAACUACGUGCCAGCAGCCGCGGUAAUACGUAGGGCGCAAGCGUUAUCCGGAAUUAUUGGGCGUAAAGAGCUCGUAGGCGGUUUGUCGCGUCUGCCGUGAAAGUCCGGGGCUCAACUCCGGAUCUGCGGUGGGUACGGGCAGACUAGAAUGAUGUAGGGGAGACUGGAAUUCCUGGUGUAGCGGUGAAAUGCGCAGAUAUCAGGAGGAACACCGAUGGCGAAGGCAGGUCUCUGGGCAUUAACUGACGCUGAGGAGCGAAAGCAUGGGGAGCGAACAGGAUUAGAUACCCUGGUAGUCCAUGCCGUAAACGUUGGGCACUAGGUGUGGGGGACAUUCCACGUUUUCCGCGCCGUAGCUAACGCAUUAAGUGCCCCGCCUGGGGAGUACGGCAG
RNAcentral lists this ribosomal RNA (499 nucleotides) under Arthrobacter globiformis. RNAcentral's name for it is "bacterial SSU rRNA". It matches the Rfam family "Bacterial small subunit ribosomal RNA", at positions 379 to 888 of the family's 1533-position model. Lineage: Bacteria; Bacillati; Actinomycetota; Actinomycetes; Micrococcales; Micrococcaceae. The record is from RNAcentral.